Molecule: ribosomal RNA, 253 nt
Filed under: uncultured bacterium
Lineage: Bacteria
Description: partial 16S ribosomal RNA
Rfam family: Bacterial small subunit ribosomal RNA
Source: RNAcentral
UACGUAGGUGGCAAGCGUUAUCCGGAUUUAUUGGGUGUAAAGGGCGUGUAGGCGGGAGCGCAAGUCAGAUGUGAAGACUCAGGGCUCAACCCUGAGCCUGCAUUUGAAACUGUGUUUCUUGAGUGCUGGAGAGGCAAUCGGAAUUCCGUGUGUAGCGGUGAAAUGCGUAGAUAUACGGAGGAACACCAGUGGCGAAGGCGGAUUGCUGGACAGUAACUGACGCUGAGGCGCGAAAGCGUGGGGAGCAAACAGG